AUUGAACGCUGGCGGCAGGCCUAACACAUGCAAGUCGAACGGUAACAGGAAGAAGCUUGCUUCUUUGCUGACGAGUGGCGGACGGGUGAGUAAUGUCUGGGAAACUGCCUGAUGGAGGGGGAUAACUACUGGAAACGGUAGCUAAUACCGCAUAACGUCGCAAGACCAAAGAGGGGGACCUUCGGGCCUCUUGCCAUCUGAUGUGCCCAGAUGGGAUUAGCUAGUAGGUGGGGUAACGGCUCACCUAGGCGACGAUCCCUAGCUGGUCUGAGAGGAUGACCAGCCACACUGGAACUGAGACACGGUCCAGACUCCUACGGGAGGCAGCAGUGGGGAAUAUUGCACAAUGGGCGCAAGCCUGAUGCAGCCAUGCCGCGUGUAUGAAGAAGGCCUUCGGGUUGUAAAGUACUUUCAGCGGGGAGGAAGGGAGUAAAGUUAAUACCUUGGCUCAUUGACGUUACCCGCAGAAGAAGCACCGGCUAACUCCGUG
Molecule: ribosomal RNA, 490 nt
Filed under: uncultured bacterium
Lineage: Bacteria
Description: partial 16S ribosomal RNA
Rfam family: Bacterial small subunit ribosomal RNA
Source: RNAcentral